UACGUAGGUGGCAAGCGUUGUCCGGAAUUAUUGGGCGUAAAGCGCGCGCAGGUGGUUUCUUAAGUCUGAUGUGAAAGCCCCCGGCUCAACCGGGGAGGGUCAUUGGAAACUGGGAAACUUGAGUGCAGAAGAGGAUAGUGGAAUUCCAAGUGUAGCGGUGAAAUGCGUAGAGAUUUGGAGGAACACCAGUGGCGAAGGCGACUGUCUGGUCUGUAACUGACACUGAGGCGCGAAAGCGUGGGGAGCAAACAGG
Molecule: ribosomal RNA, 253 nt
Filed under: uncultured bacterium
Lineage: Bacteria
Description: partial 16S ribosomal RNA
Rfam family: Bacterial small subunit ribosomal RNA
Source: RNAcentral